This 1176-nucleotide ribosomal RNA is filed under the name Triticum aestivum (bread wheat). RNAcentral's name for it is "partial small subunit ribosomal RNA". The record is from RNAcentral. Lineage: Eukaryota; Viridiplantae; Streptophyta; Magnoliopsida; Poales; Poaceae.
AUGGAGACAUUUCCGCCGCCUCCGAUUCCUCCGCUGCCCGCGAAUGUCUCCUCCGCUCCGCCGCCGCCGCCGCCGCUUCUGCAUCAGCAGGCCGGGUCUGCUCCUGCGCCGGCAACGCUCCUGGUGCGGCACCUCCCAGAGGCGAUCACUCAGGACAUGCUCGCCGGGCUCUUCUCCCGCUACGGCGCCACAUCCUUUCGCCCAUGCGGUGGAAAGUUGAGGAACUGUGCGUUUGUGGAUUUUAGGGACGAGAUGGCGGCCAAUCAGGCGCAGUCUCAGUUGAACAGGUAUGCAUAUCCACCACCAGAUGGAAACAUAUUGAACAAUAUUGUCAACUCUCUCAUUGCCGUUCCCCGAUUUUACAAUCAGGUGUUGCAUUUGAUGAACAAGAUGAACCUUCCAGCUCCAUUUCGGAUGGCAUUGCCUACUCCACCUCUACCAUCACAAGGGCCUCUUCCUCCUCCCCCUCCACCACCGCAGCCUUCUAUGACAGAGAAACUUCACUUGGCUGAUUUGUCUAGUGAUGAGUCUGAGAUGGAGUCUUCUGAUGAAGAUGUUGAUACAAGGGAAGUCAAGCGCGCAAAGCAUGAAGCUAUUGUUGGUCCUGCAGUUGAUAGAAGUGUCGCUCAUGAAUCGGUCGGGGUGAAACCAGUUGCAUUAGUUCCCAAUGAGCUUCAAGUAAUAAAAAAGAAAAACCCAGUACUGCAGAUAAAAAUUGUCCCUAAGGCUGCUUAUAAGGAACUUGCUGAUCGGAGUAUUAUCGACAAGGAAUUGGCCUCUAGAGAUGAACAACUUGAAGAAAAACAUUUUGCCACACCUCAGGAAAUAGAGAAAGAGAAAUUACCGACGGAGGAGAUUUUGUCCCUUCCCAUGUUCAAGAAUUACACUCCAGGGAAUCCUGCCAGUGUAUUAUAUAUUAAGAACUUGGCAAAGGAUGUUGUUCAUGAUGACUUCUACUAUGUCUUUGGAUCUGUGUUUGAAAGCUUGGACGCUGCAAGAUCUGGCUUAAGUAUAAAGUUAAUGCAGGAAGGUCGAAUGCGGGGCCAAGCUUUUGUGACGUUUCCAUCUCUUGAACAUGCUCAACGCGCACUGAAUUUAGCGCAUGGUUAUGCAUUCAAAGGCAAGCCGAUGAUCAUUCAGUUUGGUAGGAACCCUGGUGCUAGCAAAGCGUCCUAG